RNAcentral lists this ribosomal RNA (460 nucleotides) under uncultured bacterium. Its description in RNAcentral is "partial 16S ribosomal RNA". It matches the Rfam family "Bacterial small subunit ribosomal RNA", at positions 338 to 795 of the family's 1533-position model. The record is from RNAcentral.
CCUACGGGUGGCAGCAGUGAGGAAUAUUGGUCAAUGGACGAGAGUCUGAACCAGCCAAGUAGCGUGAAGGAUGACUGCCCUAUGGGUUGUAAACUUCUUUUAUAAAGGAAUAAAACGAGGCACGUGUGCCUUUUUGCAUGUACUUUAUGAAUAAGGAUCGGCUAACUCCGUGACAGCAGCCGCGGUAAUACGGAGGAUCCGAGCGUUAUCCGGAUUUAUUGGGUUUAAAGGGAGCGUAGAUGGGUUGUUAAGUCAGUUGUGAAAGUUUGCGGCUCAACCGUAAAAUUGCAAUUGAUACUGGCAGUCUGGAGUACAGUUGAGGUAGGCGGAAUUCGUGGUGUAGCGGUGAAAUGCUUAGAUAGCACGAAGAACCCCGAUUGCGAAGGCAGCUUACUAAACUGUGACUGACAUUGAUGCUCGAAAGUGUGGGUAUCAAACAGGAUUAGAUACCCGGGUAGUC